Molecule: non-coding RNA, 97 nt
Organism: Mycena galericulata
Lineage: Eukaryota; Fungi; Basidiomycota; Agaricomycetes; Agaricales; Mycenaceae
Source: the annotation of a GenBank genome assembly
GCCGUCGUUGACCAGGCAGGUCACCUCCUUUCAAUGGAAUUUCCCGUUUGAUUAUUGACCCAGGAGGAUUCUCGGGGUUCGAACCCCCGCGACGGCA